UAGACUAUACUUUCAGGGAUCAUUUCUGUAGUUUCUGACUUGAGAAAUGCUGUGAUAUUCCCUUCUGAACAUGAAGUGGAUGGAGGAUAAUUUUAUGAACUGCAUUUCACAGUGCAUUGAACUACGCAUAACUGUGCAUGUGAUGAAUAACCCUAACUUAUCUGA
RNAcentral lists this small nucleolar RNA (165 nucleotides) under Sphaeramia orbicularis (orbiculate cardinalfish). RNAcentral's name for it is "Small nucleolar RNA U3 (ENSSORG00005025182.1)". It matches the Rfam family "Small nucleolar RNA U3". Rfam says of the family: Small nucleolar RNAs (snoRNAs) are involved in the processing and modification of rRNA in the nucleolus. There are two main classes of snoRNAs: the box C/D class, and the box H/ACA class. The record is from Rfam by way of RNAcentral. Lineage: Eukaryota; Metazoa; Chordata; Actinopteri; Kurtiformes; Apogonidae.